RNAcentral lists this long non-coding RNA (484 nucleotides) under Homo sapiens (human). Its description in RNAcentral is "HSALNT0063264". The record is from RNAcentral. Lineage: Eukaryota; Metazoa; Chordata; Mammalia; Primates; Hominidae.
AAUGUUGUGUUGUUUUUAGUAAGAAACUGAUCCACCUAACAUAGUCAUUUUUGUUACUUUUCCCUUUAGAUGUGCUUGACUUGUGCUAAUUCUUUAUAUUCUCAUUUUCUACUGGGGAAGAGCAGCCUGCGUUGUUAAGACAAAUAACUUGUCAUAGUCACUGUCAUGGCCAUGUAAAGAAUGAAGAAGCUUCUUCCUUCAGUGAUAAAUCUGUCACUACCAACUGACUGCAUUACUACCACAUGCACCUGUGCCCCACAAACUAAGGAGAACAGAGAUGGAGAAGCAAGUGGGUUAAAGUGACGGCAUCCACCAACUUUUCACCAUUCCUGAUUAUGUUAGUCUCCUCCCUCUGUGAAGCACGGAACGCUGGGAGAACCUGGACCCAUUUUUACGGCUGAGAAAGCAUGGAAAAGAAAAAUACCUCAAGCUGUACUGUAAUUCCAGCUCAUCACAGAAUAGAGAGUUAUUAAAAUGAUUUCUG